AAAUGUAUCCAAAGAAAAUAUUUGCCUGAAAUCGCUCCAGAACUCAAGCGUAUAUUAAAAAAGUACCCUAAAAUACUGCUAGAAUUGCGGGAAUCUUUUGAUUCUUUUUUAAUUGUUUUAUAUU
This 124-nucleotide ribosomal RNA is filed under the name Phaeodactylum tricornutum. Lineage: Eukaryota; Bacillariophyta; Bacillariophyceae; Surirellales; Neidiaceae. The record is from RNAcentral.